CCGGGGGGGGCAAGCGUUGUUCGGAAUUACUGGGCGUAAAGGGCGCGUAGGCGGCCUGCUAAGUCGGACGUGAAAUCCCCCGGCUCAACCGGGGAACUGCGUCCGAUACUGGUGGGCUCGAAUCCGGGAGAGGGAUGUGGAAUUCCAGGUGUAGCGGUGAAAUGCGUAGAUAUCUGGAGGAACACCGGUGGCGAAGGCGGCAUCCUGGACCGGCAUUGACGCUGAGGCGCGAAAGCCAGGGGAGCAAACGGGAUUAGAUACCCCGGUAGUCCUGGCCCUAAACGAUGAGUGCUUGGUGUGGCGGGUAUCGAUCCCUGCCGUGCCGAAGCUAACGCAUUAAGCACUCCGCCUGGGGAGUACGGUCGCAAGGCUG
Molecule: ribosomal RNA, 373 nt
Filed under: uncultured organism
Description: bacterial SSU rRNA
Rfam family: Bacterial small subunit ribosomal RNA
Source: RNAcentral